AAUGUCAAGAAAGGAAAUCUUC
RNAcentral lists this microRNA (22 nucleotides) under Ananas comosus (pineapple). Its description in RNAcentral is "microRNA s0394_c45a". The record is from RNAcentral. Lineage: Eukaryota; Viridiplantae; Streptophyta; Magnoliopsida; Poales; Bromeliaceae.